This 569-nucleotide ribosomal RNA is filed under the name bacterium PK58. RNAcentral's name for it is "bacterial SSU rRNA". It matches the Rfam family "Bacterial small subunit ribosomal RNA", at positions 207 to 768 of the family's 1533-position model. The record is from RNAcentral.
CGGGCCUUGCGCUGAUGGAUAAGCCCAGGUGGGAUUAGCUAGUAGGUGAGGUAAAGGCUCACCUAGGCGACGAUCCCUAGCUGGUCUGAGAGGAUGAUCAGCCACACUGGGACUGAGACACGGCCCAGACUCCUACGGGAGGCAGCAGUGGGGAAUAUUGCACAAUGGGGGAAACCCUGAUGCAGCCAUGCCGCGUGUGUGAAGAAGGCCUUCGGGUUGUAAAGCACUUUCAGCGAGGAGGAAAGGGUGUAAGUUAAUACCUUACAUCUGUGACGUUACUCGCAGAAGAAGCACCGGCUAACUCCGUGCCAGCAGCCGCGGUAAUACGGAGGGUGCGAGCGUUAAUCGGAAUUACUGGGCGUAAAGCGUGCGCAGGCGGUUUGUUAAGCGAGAUGUGAAAGCCCCGGGCUCAACCUGGGAACCGCAUUUCGAACUGGCAAACUAGAGUCUUGUAGAGGGGGGUAGAAUUCCAGGUGUAGCGGUGAAAUGCGUAGAGAUCUGGAGGAAUACCGGUGGCGAAGGCGGCCCCCUGGACAAAGACUGACGCUCAGGCACGAAAGCGUGGGGAG